GAUGAAGAACGUAGUGAAAUGCGAUAAGUAGUGUGAAUUGCAGAAUUCAGUGAAUCAUCGAAUCUUUGAACGCACAUUGCGCCCUUUGGUAUUCCAAAGGGCAUGCCUGUUCGAGCGUCAUUUGUACCCUCAAGCUUUGCUUGGUGUUGGGCGUCUUGUCUCUAGCUUUGCUGGAGACUCGCCCUAAAGUAAUUGGCAGCCGGCCUACUGGUUUCGGAGCGCAGCACAAGUCGCACUCUCUAUCAGCAAAGGUCUAGCAUCCAUUAAGCCUUUUUUUCAACUUUUGACCUCGGAUCAGGUAGGGAUACCCGCUGAACUUAAGCAUAUCAAUAAGCGGAGGA
Molecule: unclassified non-coding RNA, 341 nt
Filed under: soil metagenome
Description: partial contains 5.8S ribosomal RNA, internal transcribed spacer 2, and large subunit ribosomal RNA
Rfam family: 5.8S ribosomal RNA (bases 1-120)
Source: RNAcentral